GGGCAUCAUUCCAUCAUCAGCAGAUGGGCAGCAGGCUCCCACGCAGGCUAUAUAGCAGGGAGAGCUGCUCUGUGCCCCAGCCUGGCUCUGCUCCUGGUGAUGGUAUUGAAGAGCUGUGCUUUCAGGCUGCAGCACGAGUGUUUAAUGGUGGGGCUGCCGGGAAGAGCGGGCUGGCUGGGGAGAACACAGCUGGUUACUGUUCCAAGGCCACGGCGGGGCUGGCUGCGGGGCCCCUGGGAGCCUUCCUGGCUUCUCACAGUUAGUCAUUUUAUGGCGUCCGAAGCGCUUGGAUUACUGUAACCAUAUGGUCUUUGUUUGGAGCGCCUCGCACCCAACCUGCGGCCGGGGACCGAGGCUGAGAGCUGCUCAGGGGGGUUGCAUAGGAGCUGGCCUCACGGGGUGCCCGUAGAGCACCACGCUGCCUCCUCCUCUGCAUCUGGGAUGGGAUUUGCCUUUGUGAUCCCUGUGGGCUCGGGGGUGAUUUAUGGACACCAUGCUGCACGGUGCCUGCCAAUCACCCUGCUUGCUCCAGCAGCGUUGGGCAAUCUCUGCUUCCUAUGAAAUCAGGCUCACAAAGCAAAAACUUGGCAGCAGACGAGGCUCACAGCAGUGGGGCUGCAUCCCCUGACCCACAGCUGGCAGGAUGCGGGCUGCCCCCCGCCCCAAAACUGCAACUGCGGUCUCUUUCCUAUGUUGCUGCUUCGCUUUGGGAAUGCAGAAAUAGAUUCAAAGCACCGAAGAGCACUCAAACCACCGCAGAGAAACCGGUCAUGAGGGCUGCAUGGAGGGCACAGUGCAGGGAGAUGCUGCUGACGGCCUCAGUCCCCCAAACUGCUGCGGUGUAGGGUGAGCAACAGGGAUGCUGGAGCAGGAGGAAUAGACACCUGCUCCCUCACAGUGAGUCAAGAAAUGCCAUUUUGCUCUGCACCUGGAUGGAGCGGUGCUGCAGGGAGGUAGCACACCGCCUGGAGUGAUGCCAUUAGGGUAUGAGCCCUCCGAUGAGGACACGGAGGUGCUCCUCCCUGCAUCCCACAGAGUCCCUGGGUCACGCUCAUCCUUAGCCCUACCCCAGGCGCGUGGGGCCGGGCUGGGUGGAGGGCACAGCGCUCAGCCACAGCCCUGCCUUGCACGAGGCAAUUCCACAGCACUCAGACCUCAACUGCUGCCCUCAGCAUGGCACGUGGCACCUCAAUAACCUGCUCUUAAUGAGAAAAAAGGCAGUGAUGGGCAUUGAACCCUGCACUGGACGGAGCCCCUCUGUCCACUGCUCCCAGCUUGUGCCAUCUCCCUGCGGGCACGCACACCUCUCCGCCCCCCCCCCAUCCAUCCAUCCAUCCAUCCCUCUGACACUGACACAUGGCAGCUGUCCCCCUGCGGGUUGGUCAGUGGGAGAGGAGCGGAUUCGUGCACAUCGGAAGAGCCGUAAAUCACAGCAAUGGGUUCCUCAGAAGGGCUUCCAGCCAGAGCCGUAACCACAGCGUGCGGGGCCAACAUCCGCACGGCUCCGCGGCCAUCCGGCGCGGGACAGCGGCGCUCACAUCCAGCUAGCACUCAACAGCUGAUAACUCUAUUCCUCCCCCCUCCCUCCUUUUUUCUUCCAAGAGUUGAGCUAUUCUUCAACCUACAAAGCUCCAAAGGGCCCCCGGCCAGCAGCCUAAAUCCUGAGCUGUAGGUUUGGUCGAUGCUUGCAAUACGAAUGCAGGGGUGUUUGCAUUGCUCCCGUACCCCUUUCCCAGCAAACAGAGGGUUCGGUAGGUCUGGAAAAACCCUAUUAUACCUACAGGGCAGCACGGUUCCUCCUUCUUGGGGAAAAAGGUAAAAAAAUAAGAAGCAAAAAAGAGCUCGCUGUGCACAAUUGACAUUUUUUAAGCCGUAGUCAUCCCCCUCUGUUCCUCCCAGUGUUUUCCCACCAGCGGGGUGAGGAAAUCGCCUUUUACAUCAUGUUGGCUGUCAACCCUAGCGAGAGAUGCUGGGCUGGAGACAAAAGAGCUGGAAGGGGUCUUCUGAGCUCACCUCAGCCCCAGGGCAGGAGGAGUCGUUUCAUAAGCAGCUUUCAUAAGCAGCUUGGUCUGAAGGAAAUGGCAUGGAAAAAAAGUGGUGGAUGCCACGGCCGUGAGCUUUGCGCCGGGGAGGAGCCGCUGCCCUGCAAACCCUGUGGGGCUGCUGGGGGAUUGCAGCCAUUCUGAGAAGGAUAGAGAAGAUGUGGUAGAAGGAGGAAGGGGGGGGGGGAUGGUUAAACUGGGUGGGAUCUCACCCGCGCACAGCUUCUGAUCCCUGGUGGGGUCUCCCCAUCCACGCUGCUGCACUGUGCGCCCUUGGCAUGCUUGCGCUCUCAGCUCCGUGCUGCUUUUGGAAAGCAGGAUGCUUGCUCGGAUGCUCGCCCAGAGCUGGAUUUGGAACCCCCCCCCCCUCCCCUCUCCAUGCACGCUGCAGUGAGCAGCUGGCUCAUUGCACGCAGCAUCAUCACCAUCUCUGCCGGCAGCCGGACCACCGCUGGCGCAGGUGAGCUGCUGGCUGCAGAGCAAGCGGGAGCCGCUCCCCCCUCCUCCACCCCUCCCCGCAGAGCUCUUGGACAAAUAAAGUGCGGAAAAAAUCUGAGCUGGAGCUGCUGACUCCUUGUGCAAGCAAGUUUAAAAUAGGCCACACUGUUCCAGCCCGGCGGCAGCCAGCUGGCCCUGCAGCCGCCCCGCUGCAAAACAAGCGGCAGCGGGAGCCCCGGCACCGCAGCACGGGGACGUGACCCGGAUGGCAGCAGCUGGGACAGCACGGUGACACUCUUGGCCAUGCAGGUGGGAUGUCACCAGGGGUGAAAGGUGCCCAGCCGGGCGGGGGGCACGCAGGGAGCAUCCCCUGCAAUAGCAUCGCCGCAGCUGUGCCCCUCCUCUGCGCCCUUGGGGACACCCAACCGAUGCUCCUAUUGUAUUUAUUUCUUGUUUUGGGUUUUUUUUCUUGGUAAUCAUACAAAGCCUGGAAGCGGGCCCCAGGUGGGCUGGAGAGCGAGGUGCCGUGGGGCAGCAAUGUGUCCCCCGGGGCCGCCCGGUGCCGUCAGCCCCACGCUGCCUUUCCCGUGCUCUGCGGUCCUUUGGGGACAGGAAGCUCUGCAUUGUAAGGCGGCCUUCCAGGAUUUCCUGCAGCAGAGCAGGAUGCGGCUGCGCACCGGUUCCAGGGAAACCUGCAGCCCUCGGGGAUGUUGGGGACACCCCCCUGCUGCUCCUGCCCAAGUCAACCCCAUGGCAAUGUCCAGUGCUUGGGGCAGUUCCUAUGGCACUAAUGGGGGGCAUCGGUCCCUGCUGCUCGCCCUCACCCAGCAUCACUCAUCCCAUGUUGGACCAAAUGCGUGGUGCAAAGGAGGCACUGGGAUCCCAUGGGUGAUGUGCAGCGACUCCCAGGGGAGCAGGGGUGUCACCCUGCCUGCUCUUCCUUCCAAUGUCUUUAGGGAAAGAAGGAGAACAACAGCCAUCCCUCACUGGGGGCCAAACUGGGGCCAUCUGCUCAGCGUCAGCCCAGGGCCGGGGCAUCACCUCAACCCAGAGGGGUGCGUUGUUCCCCACGGCUGCUGCUGCUCACCCUCUGCCCCCACAGCGGCCACAGCACGGAGGUGUCGGCCCGUGGUGAGGAUUAAUGGCUGCGUGCUGCUCGCCUCCGAGAGCUCUGCACCUUGGCUGGGGGGAGGAGGAGGAGGAUUUGGCAGCUGGAAGAGCUGGGAUUAGAGGAGAUUUGCUGGAUCUCAAGGAGAGAGGUGCCAAGUUCUCUUUGCUGGGGGACCCCGGAGGACGCUGCGUGUCCCUGUCAGCUGGCUGCAGCUCUCGGGUACCAACUUUGGGUGUCAGUGCUGCAGGGCAAUGGCACGCACAGCGGGAGCGCGGCUCCGCCAGCAAUAAACAGCGCUCAGCGCUCAGCGGGGCCGCGUCGGGAGGAGCUGCUCUGCCAGUAAGCACCGUAUUUCCCUAUUUAUAAACACAGCACCGCAUUGAGUGUGGGGCCCUGACUCUGCAGGAGCUGCUGCAAUUGUCUCUCUGCUUUGCGCUGGCAAAAAGCGUCGCGGCGCGCGGGGAUGUUUGUGGAUGGGCUGCGAGGUUUCCUGCAUCCUCCAGCUCUGAGGAUGGUCCCCGUCUCCCAGAGGUGCGUGGAGCAUCAGAUGGGCUUCGGCUUGGUUUGAGAUAAGGAAUCCCUCCGUGAUGUCGCUGGGGUUGCUGGGUGUCCGUGUGCAAUGCAGCAAAUGCGGCGGGGGC
RNAcentral lists this long non-coding RNA (4232 nucleotides) under Gallus gallus (chicken). RNAcentral's name for it is "lncRNA (ENSGALG00010010091.1)". The record is from RNAcentral. Lineage: Eukaryota; Metazoa; Chordata; Aves; Galliformes; Phasianidae.